CCCAGACAACUCUCUAAGACUAUAAACUGCAGGAUACUAUUGGGAAAGUGCUGGAUAGUAUAUACUAUUCUACAGGGACCAUGUCUUUGAAGUUCAAUCAAAAGGAAGGAAGAAGUACAGUUGAGAGGAAAGGGAAAAAUGCUUGGCCCUACCACUGAGAGAGACCCAAUCCAAUGCUUCUUUUAAUGGAAGGGUAUGUCCCUUUCAGACUUUAGCAAAUCUGCUGGUCAUAAGCAGCCUUUGAAGACUUUGCUUCUUGAUGGUCAGAAUGGUGCAGGGGAAUGAGCUCACUAUUUCAAAUCAGGAGCAUGGGAUUUGACCCUUGACUUUGAUGCUUUGACCUCCAGCAAACUAUUUCACCUUUUGCCUCAGUUUGCUCACCUGUUUGUGUGUGUGUGUGUGUGUGUGUGUGUGAGAGAGAGAGAGAGACAAUACUUAUGCAACUUGUCUCACAGACUGUUGUGAAGAAAGUGCUUUAUAAAUUUUAAAGCACUAUCAAAAUAUGAGCUGUUUAUCUGUUUAUGAUCUGUUUAAACAUGUUUAUUUGACAGAAAUGAAAGCCAGAUAUGGCAUGUUCCUUUAGGGGGGAAGGGAAGGGAAUAAGCAUUUAUUAAGCCCCUGCUCUGCCAAAGUUACUAUGCUAAGCACCUUCUAAAUAUUAUCAUUUGAUCCUUACAACAACUCUACGAGAAGGUGCAAUUAUUACUCCUGUUUUAUUGCCGAGGAAACUGAGGCAGACAGAUUAAGUGGCUUGCCCAGGGUCACACAGUUAAGAGGUAUCUGAGGCUGGAUUUUAACUCAGAUCUUCCUGACUACAGUUCCAGUGGUCUAUCCAUUACACCACCUAGGUGCCUAAAUGUUUAGGUUUCUCCAUUGUCAUGACUAGGCAGGGAAGAUUAAAAAUACUGACUUUUAGGUAUAUUUUAUAAAUACUUUUGGGGAAAACAAUGAAGAUGAGCUUUCCUGAACUUGCAAACUAACUUAUGAGUGCAUAUUGGGAUUUCCUUUACAGAAGUCAGAGAAACAACAUUUCCCAUUUCAUAACCGAUGCUUAUAGGGAAAACAACAUCCAGGUAUAUUUAUGAAAAUUUAGUCUCAGGGAGAGAUCUACGUUGAAUUUGAAUAUGUAUACUAAAGCACUCUUUUUCUUUCGUGCUGCCUCUUCCUUAUCUCUUAAACACUAAUCUUUUAUGAAAGCAUAUAUUAAAUACCAUAGCUAUAUAUGAAAUACAUCAAUACAUGUAUACACAUGAAAAACAAUGCAUGCUUGAAAUGUAUGGACAUUUAUAUACAUAUGUGUAGUAUACAUGAUAUUUGCCUGUGUAUUAUCUAAGAUUACAUCUGGUCUUUGAACUCUUCUUUCAUGUACUGACUCUUCUGACUCGGUUCAACUCUCCUCUCACAUGGUCAGAAAUCCCUUUUAGUUCUUAUCACAACCCCUGGCUGGAGCAAGUAUCCCUAGUGAUUUUUUUUUUAAUCUUCCUCUUCCCUCCCCAAUUUCACCUUGCCCCCAAACCUGUCCCUCUCUUCUAUGCAAACUAUAAGAACUAGGCUGAUUGGAGAAGACUGAAAAGGCUGGUGACCUUUGUCACACUACCUCUCAGCAAAAAAUCACCUCUUAGUCACCUUCUGGUUUCUGCUGGUAUCUUCUGCCUGUUUCUUGAUAUGUAUACAGUAAAUGAUGAGGUAUAAAUGUAGUAGAAAGAGGGCUCUCUUCAGAGUUCCUUUUCUUGUAUCCACAUAUGGGGAGAUAGACAAUGAGAGAAGGCAGGUGGUGAUUUUGUACUGAGAAGAGAGGGACCAAUGUUACAAGCCUUUUCAGCCUUCUCUAGUCAGUACAACCUUUAUGAUUUGCAAAGAACAAAAGAAGGCUGUGAUUAAACAGCAAAGUUUUUU
Long non-coding RNA from Phascolarctos cinereus (koala), 1896 nucleotides. RefSeq lists it as uncharacterized. The record is from RefSeq and is a predicted model, not a curated record. Lineage: Eukaryota; Metazoa; Chordata; Mammalia; Diprotodontia; Phascolarctidae.